AGUGAACGCUGGCGGCAGGCCUAACACAUGCAAGUCGAACGGACUCACCGGAAGUGCUUGCGCUCGCGGGUGGCGAGCGGCGGAAGGGUGAGGUAUACAUAGGAUACCUCUUUGACGGUGGUGAUAACGGAGAAAAGGUGCUGCUAAUACAGAAUAUAUCGUACUGAUGUGAGCAGGCGUGUAAUUGGCUUUUUGGUACUGUAACAGCUGAUGUCGGAUCAGCUCAGUGGCUCGGUAAAGGCAUACCAAGGCGACGAUGCGUAGCAGACCCGAAAGGGUGGUCAACCAGACUGGAACUGAGAAACGGUCCAGACUCCUACGGGAGGACGCAGUCGGGAAUCUUCCGCAAGGGACGAAAGCCUAAUCCAGCGAAACCGCGUGGGUGAUGAAGGCCUUCGGAUCGUAAAACCCUGUUGUUAGGAAAAAACAAAAGUGCGUUCAACGCCGACCGUCUUGACGGUACCCAAAGAAAAAGCCCCGGCUAACUUCGUG
Molecule: ribosomal RNA, 492 nt
Filed under: uncultured bacterium
Lineage: Bacteria
Description: partial 16S ribosomal RNA
Rfam family: Bacterial small subunit ribosomal RNA
Source: RNAcentral